CCCUUAGAUGUCCUGGGCCGCACGCGCGUUACACUGAUGCAUUCAACGAGCAUAUAACCUUGGCCGAGAGGCCUGGGUAAUCUUGUUAACAUGCAUCGUGAUAGGGAUAGAUUAUUGCAAUUAUUAAUCUUGAACGAGGAAUUCCUAGUAAUCGCAGUUCAUCAAACUGCAAUGAUUACGUCCCUGCCCUUUGUACACACCGCCCGUCGCACCUACCGAUUGGAUGGUCCGGUGAAGCCUCGGGAUUGUGGUUCUUGCCGCUUUAUUGUGGCGUGACCGCGAGAACUUGUCUAAACCUUAUCAUCUAGAGGAAGGUGAAGUCGUAACA
RNAcentral lists this ribosomal RNA (328 nucleotides) under uncultured eukaryote. RNAcentral describes it as "partial 18S ribosomal RNA". It matches the Rfam family "Eukaryotic small subunit ribosomal RNA", at positions 1470 to 1796 of the family's 1831-position model. The record is from RNAcentral.